This 29-nucleotide non-coding RNA is filed under the name Mus musculus (house mouse). Lineage: Eukaryota; Metazoa; Chordata; Mammalia; Rodentia; Muridae. The record is from RNAcentral.
UCNGUGCUAGUGAUCGUAUGGCUCCUUCC